UGGGGAAUAUUGGACAAUGGGGGGAACCCUGAUCCAGCCAUGCCGCGUGUGUGAAGAAGGCCUUAUGGUUGUAAAGCACCUUAAGCAGUGAAGAAUACAUCAUGGCUAAUAUCCGUGAUGAAUGACAUUAGCUGCAGAAUAAGCACCGGCUAACUCUGUGCCAGCAGCCGCGGUAAUACGUAGGUCCCGAGCGUUGUCCGGAUUUAUUGGGCGUAAAGCGAGCGCAGGCGGUUAGAUAAGUCUGAAGUUAAAGGCUGUGGCUUAACCAUAGUAGGCUUUGGAAACUGUUUAACUUGAGUGCAAGAGGGGAGAGUGGAAUUCCAUGUGUAGCGGUGAAAUGCGUAGAUAUAUGGAGGAACACCGGUGGCGAAAGCGGCUCUCUGGCUUGUAACUGACGCUGAGGCUCGAAAGCGUGGGGAGCAAACAGGAUUAGAUACCCUGGUAGUCCACGCUGUAAACGAUGAGUGCUAGGUGUUAGACCCUUUCCGGGGUUUAGUGCCGUAGCUAACGCAUUAAGCACUCCGCCUGGGGAGUACGACCGCAAGGUUG
This 549-nucleotide ribosomal RNA is filed under the name uncultured bacterium. Its description in RNAcentral is "bacterial SSU rRNA". It matches the Rfam family "Bacterial small subunit ribosomal RNA", at positions 355 to 896 of the family's 1533-position model. The record is from RNAcentral.